GGCCCCCGAACGGGCUACAGACACCAAAAUCGCAUCAGUCCUAACUGAGGUCAAGCUCUACCAGGGCCAAGUGGAACGGUGGCGAUAGGUUAUUCCUGUGCGAAAAGCCACCCCGUUUUAUACUCCCAGACCCGGCCUCCAUGUUAAACUGUGGGUCAGAGAGGUCGAGCUCCCUUUUGGGGCCGUACGCGGCCCGGGAAGGGGCUAGAGACCCCAAACUCGGGUCGGUGCAAACUGAGGUCAUGCCCUACGAGGGUGCGUUGGGAGGGUGACGCCAAAUCGUUCCUGUGCCGAACGCCAGCCCGUUUCUCACUGCAGAAAACAGGCCUCCAUAGGCCUCCAUGUUACAGUAUGGGGGAAACACACAUCUAAAUAUCUUGGCCCGGGAAGGGUCUGGAGACCCCAAACUUGGGUCAGUAAGACCUGGGACCAUGCCCUACGAGGGUGCGUUGGGAGGGUGACGCCAAAUCGUUCGUGCCCCGAACGCCAGCCCGUUUCUCACUGCAGAAAACAGGCCUCCAUAGGCCUCCAUGUUACAGUAUGGGGGAAACACACAUCUAAAUAUCUGAGCCCGGGAGGGGGCUAGAGACCCCAAACUCGGGUCACUGAUCACUAAGGACAUGGGCUACAAGUGUGCGUUGGGAGGGUGAAGCUACGUGGUCCCAGUGCAAAACGCCAGCCUUCUACACAUAUGUAAACAACAUGGCCGCCAUGGGCCCACUUUCCACGUCCAUUACUGCCCCGUCCUGGGGUCUAGGGGGGUGAAACUUAAACCACAGUGUCCCUGUGGCAGGUACUACCUGGGUGUGACGUUUGAAGUGAAUGAGACAAGGUGAAAAGGUCGCGUAAAAACGACCUAUAAGUGUUACAAACUUUCAGAAGUGAAAGUAA
This is a long non-coding RNA of Melanotaenia boesemani (Boeseman's rainbowfish), 891 nucleotides long. RefSeq lists it as uncharacterized. Lineage: Eukaryota; Metazoa; Chordata; Actinopteri; Atheriniformes; Melanotaeniidae. The record is from RefSeq and is a predicted model, not a curated record. The transcript has 3 exons.